This 83-nucleotide non-coding RNA is filed under the name bovine gut metagenome. RNAcentral's name for it is "TPP riboswitch (THI element)". It matches the Rfam family "TPP riboswitch aptamer (THI element)", at positions 6 to 97 of the family's 105-position model. From Rfam's summary of the family: Vitamin B(1) in its active form thiamin pyrophosphate (TPP) is an essential coenzyme that is synthesised by coupling of pyrimidine and thiazole moieties in bacteria. The record is from RNAcentral.
AUUCAAGGGGUGCUCCUUAGAGGGCUGAGAUGAUACCCUAUAACCUGAUCCGGGUAAUGCUGGCGUAGGGAUGGAUAUUACCA